AUGACGCACUCACGUUGGAUGAGUUCAUCGGGCAUUUUUUGGAAGUGUUGGGACAUUGUUAAGGUUGAACUCAUGAGAGCCAACCAUCAUUUUGGUGACCUCCAUGGUGCAAAUCUCCAAUGGUUAAACUCUGUAAACAUUGUGCUUUUGCCCCAGAAAGAGGGUGUGGAAGAGAUCAUCGACUUUAUGCCUAUUAGCCUCAUUUAUUCCGUUGCAAAAAUCAUUGCUAAGAUACUAGCUAUCCGCCUUAGUAUGCACAUGAACUCUCUUGUUUCUAAUGCCCGAAGUUCCCAAGCAAGUUUAGGGAUUGGAUCACCGCCCUGA
This 324-nucleotide ribosomal RNA is filed under the name Triticum aestivum (bread wheat). RNAcentral describes it as "partial small subunit ribosomal RNA". Lineage: Eukaryota; Viridiplantae; Streptophyta; Magnoliopsida; Poales; Poaceae. The record is from RNAcentral.